CAGCAGAGGAGCCAAGCACUAAGCAGCCUGCAAACAGUAAGAAGAUUCCCCUCUCUUUCUCAGUGGAUGUAAAGCAGUGAUUCUGCAUAAAUGUAUCAACACUAUAGCUCAACUCCUUCUGGAGUGGACUUCCCCUAGACCUGGAGAGCGAGUCCUGCCUAGCAUACACGGCCUGAAGUUCGAGAUCUCUUCCAAUUCAGGUCAACAAGAAAACUCAAUUCCUCUUCAGGAAGUUAAGUGACUUAAAGAUUACAUAAGAGCUAAGAAGACAAGCCAGCUAAGCAUGUUCAAGACCGGGCUUUUUGAAACUGCACUAAUUGAUCAUAACGGUAGACGGGGUUUCACCAUGUUGCCCAGGCUGGUCUAGAAGUCCUGGGCUGAAGCGAUCCGACCGCCUCCCAAAGUGCUGGGAUUACAGGAGUGAGCCAUCUCGCCCAGCCGAAAAAGUGUUUUUUGAUCUUAAAAUCUUACGUGGAAUGAAAGUGAACAAUGAGGCAAUGAAAGUGGAAGUUUCUCUUAAGCAAACACAGAAGUCAACCAUUCCAGCUUUCUAAGCUCUUUAGAAAUGCAAUUAUAGCCUUUACCACCUCUUCAGCAGAUAUUCCUCACAGGGCAAAUUCAUCUAACUGUGUGCUUAGAAGCUCCAGAAUGGAACUCUUACCCACCAGGAGGUUGCCCCGAGAGAUAACAGUCAAUUUACAAUCCAAAGUAUGCCCGCUAGAGUUUUUGGCCACCAUUACAACUCAUUUCUGCCCAUGAAGACACCAGCUUGACAGCCUGAUAGAUAAGGCACCAAGCUAGCACAAAACCCCUCACCUGCUUGUGUCCUCCUUUGCCUUUUAAAAGUGCCCACUUUCUGCUCCAAAGGUGAAGCAGUAUACUUAAGGACGGAAGCCUGUACUUCUUCCCCUAAGCUAGUUUUGGAAUAAAAAGGCACUUUCUUUAUACCAGACCUUGUUCUUAUUAAUUGGACUCUGCAAGCGGCGAAUGAUUGAACCUGCACUUCGGUUGCAUGACUACCAACCCAUCUCUUCAGCCUCAUCCCUCACCCAACCCCACCCAGCUGCAAGCCAGUCAUCCAAUCACUUGCCGUUCCUUGAACAAACCAAGCCCUGCUGGCUUUGCACAAGGGCUCAUCCCUGCAGAAGACCCUUCCUCUGCUCCUUCAUUACGCUUAAGCUGGAAGAGAGACAACUUCCUUCCCUCCAGCACGCCAGAGAGCUUUUCCAUAACAUGAAGCAAAGCCUGCAGGUGCAAAACUUGUCUUUAGGAUUCUUAGGACCAAAGAGUGAAUAUAUAAACCACAUAAGGAAACACAAGCUACAGUUAGCUUUUUUCCUUAAAUUGUGUGAAAACUGUGAAGGAAAACAAAUCUGCUACUAAUUUUUAACAUAUUAAUUCACAAACAAUAAAAUUGCAU
This 1420-nucleotide long non-coding RNA is filed under the name Homo sapiens (human). RNAcentral describes it as "HSALNT0118440". Lineage: Eukaryota; Metazoa; Chordata; Mammalia; Primates; Hominidae. The record is from RNAcentral.